This 468-nucleotide ribosomal RNA is filed under the name uncultured bacterium. RNAcentral's name for it is "partial 16S ribosomal RNA". It matches the Rfam family "Bacterial small subunit ribosomal RNA", at positions 28 to 507 of the family's 1533-position model. The record is from RNAcentral.
GAUGAACGCUGGCGGCGUGCUUAGCACAUGCAAGUCGAACGGUGAAGGCGGAGCUUGCUCUGCUGGAUCAGUGGCGAACGGGUGAGUAACACGUGAGCAAUCUGCCCCUGACUCUGGGAUAAGCGCUGGAAACGGCGUCUAAUACUGGAUACGAGCUGCGAAGGCAUCUUCAGCAGCUGGAAAGAAUUUCGGUCAGGGAUGAGCUCGCGGCCUAUCAGCUUGUUGGUGAGGUAAUGGCUCACCAAGGCGUCGACGGGUAGCCGGCCUGAGAGGGUGACCGGCCACACUGGGACUGAGACACGGCCCAGACUCCUACGGGAGGCAGCAGUGGGGAAUAUUGCACAAUGGGCGAAAGCCUGAUGCAGCAACGCCGCGUGAGGGACGACGGCCUUCGGGUUGUAAACCUCUUUUAGCAGGGAAGAAGCGAAAGUGACGGUACCUGCAGAAAAAGCGCCGGCUAACUACGUG